Long non-coding RNA from Puntigrus tetrazona (Sumatra barb), 590 nucleotides. RefSeq lists it as uncharacterized. The record is from RefSeq and is a predicted model, not a curated record. Lineage: Eukaryota; Metazoa; Chordata; Actinopteri; Cypriniformes; Cyprinidae. The transcript is spliced from 3 exons.
CGCUGCCGUCACUCUCUUCAUUCUCUCUCUUGCUUUAUUUUCAACUAAGGCAAAAGUGAAAGCUUCUCAAAGUUCAUCAGUGCAUGUGAGUAGAGUUUCCAAGUCUAUUUGGUCACAGUUUUCCGGAAAACUUCAUCAGAAGAUAAUUUGCAGCCUCUGGUGCGUCAACACAGAGACCAGCAUCCACAGCAGCAAAGAAUAAUGGGAGCCAAUUGGUCGUAUAAGAUUGUCGGAGCGGUGGCAGGCGCAGUGACUGGAAGCUGUUUGGCCAUUUUAGUACUGGGGACCUCGGUCAUCAUUCUAAGUAAAGGAAUGGAGGUAUUUACAGUCAUCACGGGUGGAGGAGUUACAGGAGGAGCUGCGGCAGGAGCAGCGGCGAUGGCAGGGAACGUAGCUGCUGGUAUGGUUCUCGGAGCUCCGGCUGUAGGAGCAGUUGGAGGAGCCAUCCUCGGAUGGUAAGCAGCAGAAGACUCUGGUUCAAUGCGGGAUGCAAUGAAGAGAGCAGUAGAUGUUAACUUUGACAUGGCGAAACACACGAUUGAGAAUGUACACCAGUUUGCGGAUGUUGCUUUUAAAGCUAACAAAAUGGC